AUGCAUUUUUUGAACCAAGGUUUUUGGCAGUUCCUCCAGUGUAUGACACUUCAGGAACUACUUCAGCUAGAAUAUUUCUGUUUGUAAUAUUUACAAUUAUGGCAAGCUGUUGGCUCCACUAUCAUCAAAUUAUGCAUCCCCAAACUAAUCAUGUUGCCAGUUAUAACUUAAUUCACAUAUCAUGCAUCCUUCUACAUAAAGUUUAGGCUCUGACA
RNAcentral lists this unclassified non-coding RNA (215 nucleotides) under Hevea brasiliensis (rubber tree). Lineage: Eukaryota; Viridiplantae; Streptophyta; Magnoliopsida; Malpighiales; Euphorbiaceae. The record is from RNAcentral.